GCAGGUGUCUGGGGCCUGACUCUAGCAGUUUGGAGGAAGCAUCAGGGAAAUGUCUAUGUUGCUCUUUCUCUCCUAGCUUCUGGGAGCUGGCAAGCAGAAAAGGCACUGCCUGUGGUUCUGGACAGCUGGCCGGGGCUGCGCCGGAUGCCUGGUCCCUCCUCCUGUGCCCCAGCCGCUCAAGAGUGGAGGAGAAGGUGUGAAAUGAUUUUGACCUUGGCGUCUAGUCUGAUCCCUCUCACUCUGAAAGUGCUUCUGCAUGUUGGCCUGUGUCACUCUCUGGUAUCUCAGCUGGUUGGGAAGAGUCUCUGUUGGUCAUUACCCUUGUUGGAGCCCAGACAGGGUCAUCUGGCCACAGCGGGAGGCAGCAGUGAGGAGCAGCGGCAGGCAUACAGCCGAGACAAGAUUUCAGCACUGAGAACAGUUUCCUGGAAGAAGCUUGGUCUAGAAGCUCCAUCUCUGUAUCCCAUAAAAUUGCCCUGGCUAGAACUUCCAGUUCAAUGUUGAACAGAAGUGGUGAGAAUAGCCAUCCUUGUCUUACUCCUAAUCAUAGAGGAGACACCAAGAAUGCUGGUGUGCAGAGAAAGAACCACAUGAGGACACAGGGAGAAAGAAGAUGGCCAUCUCCAACCCAAAGAGAGAGGCCUUAGGAGAAACCAAACCUGCCGACACUGUGCUCUAUGACUUCCAGCCUCCAGAACUAGGCUUCUCUCGUAGAUUGCCUUGCUGAACAUGGGCGUGCAAGACAAAGUAGCUGAGGUGGAUUAUAGUUAUGCCUCGUCUCAUUAUGAAAGUGGUUCAAGCACCCAGCUCAGCCAAUUUGGAGGCUGGCGGCUCUGACAACGCUCAGAGCUAUUAAUUUCCUUGUGUGUGUUUGUGUGUCUCCAGAAACCACCCAGAUUCAGAGAAGAGCUAGGAUGCUCCCGGCACUGGUAAUGAUCGUCUCCCCUCUUAGUGGGGAAAAGCGAUUAGCCACCAUGGGGUCAGCCUGUCUUAGGAACGGCAGCCCCACCGGCUUCCCAGGCCCCUCGUGCUAUGGAGUGCCAGAAAGAGCUAGCGUCACUAUGAAGCCCGGCCGUGACUCAUCUGCCUCCCCAACUUCUCUCUCAAAAUGUGCUCUCUGGACUUUCUCAGGCAAGCCUGAGUGGCUCAUUGCAGACACCCAUCAUUAACGUGCCUUUCACGCUUCUUAAUUCCCUCCAGAGCUUUAACAAUCAUCGCAAACACGAACAGGGUAUUCUUCCCAGAGAAAGACAUUCAUCAUGACUCUCCCCAACCUCCGUCUCAAAGCGCAGGAAUUACUUCAAUUGCCAAUGGGAAGAGGGAGCCAACAGGUAUUUUUAAAGAGGCUCUAUCCACUGGAGGAUCGAAAAGAAAAUAUCCCCUUUGAGCAUUUAGUCACACACAUCAAAGGAAACAACACUUUCAAUCUUCAUUUGCAUCGUACAGGCAUUAGAUGUGGUCCAGUUACACUGAGCUCCGCUUGAAAAGGCAGAAGUGCCAGUACUUUUCAAGCCUUGACGGAGACAGAGAGAAAAUGCAGCCAGGCAAAUAAUAUAUCACCCUGCCAAGGCAUUUUCCAUUUUUAAAAGGACAGAACAAUUUUACAUUAUUUCUGGAGCCUCUUUGCAGCAAAUAUCCCUUGACAUUUAUUUUAGCACCCUGGCCGGCCAGCCUAAAAGCCCUGGCUGCUCCCAGCCUGCUGCUCCUGUGUGCCGGCGACCACGUUCUGCCUUUUGGUCUUGAAGCUCCAGACGUGAGAAGGGCAAGUGGCCAAGGCUUUUGAACACAGGCCGGAGGAGGUUGGUUCUGCAGAAGGGGCCGAUGAAGAAGACAUCACCCUGGUGGAAGGGAUAACAUAGCAUUUCAAGUCACUUGAAGAUGGAGAACCAUCAUUCACGGCUCAGAGCUACCAGGAUGAAAACGCAAGGCAGGCUUGGGGUUUUUCAGAGAUAAAACAAUGAAGUGUGCGUGCUUGCACUUGAUGGGGAGGCCUCUUGGGGAAGCGGAAACGGCCACCGGUUCUAGAAUAAUUAGCACCAAAUGACUUCUAGUUAGGGUGACAAAUGAACAAGUUUUCCAGAUCUGGAGACUCAGGAUCGGGCUAUUAGGUAAAAAUUUCCAAACUGUUCUUUCUAAGGUGGUCUGUGGUUCAUUCCUUGCCAAGUGUGAGGUCUUUUGUCAGAGGGCGAACUGUGGUUUUAUUGUUACAAGUCCUCAGCCCCGGCUGGCCUGAAAAAUCUCAGGGUGCUGAAUGAUUAAUUCCAACCUGCCCUAGAAAACGUUAGUCAGCUGGCAAAAGGAAAUAGCCCAACACAGAGGCAAAAAGAGCAAAUUGACUUUAUCUGUGAGUGAUUAUGUUUGACAAGAUGAGAAAAAAAAGAAAUCUUUUGUCACAGAAGAAAAUUGUACUUUGAGAAAUCUUUGCCCAAGUCUUAAGACUUUGCUUUACACAGUUUGAAUUAAAAUGGAAAUAAUCCCAGUCCCCCUCCCACCGCCCCCGCUUCUCUCCCAAAUAAAGAGCAGAGAAACAAAACUUCAUUUUUAUAUGUUUACUAUAGCAGAGUUUUAGAAAUCAGAUCAGGAAUUCCAGGUCUACUCCAGAGUAGCAUUUCCAUUAACUAGCAAAUUCUCUUUCAAGAAACCUAUUUUUGAAUUGCUGUUUACUACUAAAAGUUUAAUUUUUCCUUUAAGUAUUUGUCACACAUGCAGUCAAAUUCCUUGUGGGUGGGAUAGCAGGGCAGAUGGGACUCCUCUCCAAUAAGAAAGGAGAGCCAAUUUUCACUCUGAAAGGGCGAAAAGAUCAGGACUGUUAGAAUCAUUCUUCCGAUUUAACAUUUAUCUUGUAUCCACAGCAUCACAGUCUGCUUAGGAC
Molecule: long non-coding RNA, 2872 nt
Organism: Canis lupus familiaris (dog)
Lineage: Eukaryota; Metazoa; Chordata; Mammalia; Carnivora; Canidae
Exons: 6
Source: RefSeq, a predicted model, not a curated record